Molecule: ribosomal RNA, 375 nt
Filed under: Triticum aestivum (bread wheat)
Lineage: Eukaryota; Viridiplantae; Streptophyta; Magnoliopsida; Poales; Poaceae
Description: partial small subunit ribosomal RNA
Source: RNAcentral
AUGCAUAAGUUCAGGUUGCGUGUGGAGUUUCAGAUAUAUGCAAUUGAAUUAGAGCACCAUGCUCUCACCCAUGUAAUUUGCAGGGAAAACAUAAUAAGUUCUAAGAAAAUAAAUAUAGAAGUUCAUAUUUCGAAACAAAUGAAGUAUUUGGGAAAUAAAAUGAAGUAUUUCAAAGUACAAAACUUCUAUUUAGGUUUCUUUUGGGUACUUCUAAUGUUACUGUGCAUGAACUUGUCGGUAUUUUUACAUGUUUUACAUGAUUGUGGUCAUUUCGACCUUGACAAAUUUCAUUUGCUUUUUUACGUUCAUCUUACAGGUCGAAGGAGCUCCCUUCAGUUCAAUGGAUUCAACAAAAUAAUCCAUGUUGCCUACUAG